Molecule: ribosomal RNA, 1158 nt
Filed under: Triticum aestivum (bread wheat)
Lineage: Eukaryota; Viridiplantae; Streptophyta; Magnoliopsida; Poales; Poaceae
Description: partial small subunit ribosomal RNA
Source: RNAcentral
AUGGGCAGGCAUGAUGAAGAGCAAAAGAGGAUGUUCAAGAAAAGGGAUUUGGCUGAGAAGAAAGCGAGUGAAACAGCAAAGAAAAACAGGCCUAAUCAGGAUAGCUAUGAAAAAAUUAUCAUCCAUCGCCUAAGCAUUGAUGCCACAUCUGAUGAAAUAUUGGGGUACUACCGAAGUGUCCGCGCGACAUUUUCAACUGUCUCAUCUUUUGUUGUUCGUGUCUCUGUUCGUCUACCUGGUAAACCCCAAGGGCCCUUUGAUGAUGGGGGAGUACCAGUUACAAGUCCACCUCCUCAAGAAGCCAAAGACUUCACUUAUCAGAUCACUGAGUUGUUUGAUCCCCUGACUCCAAAUGGCCCUGUUAUACAAAUUGCCGUACAACAGUUUAGUGGAUAUGCAAUGGCGGUCCGGGCUCUCUAUCUUGAUAAUGACCCCUUUUUACAAGCCUGGUAUGCAUUCCGUGGUGCAGAGCUGCAGCUACCAAAGCAUUUAUUUCCAAACGUGAUAUCUUUUCCCUACCGGGUGGACUAUGAUGAUGUUAAUGCCAUACAUAUCCAUCCUGAAAUCCUGAGAGAAGUUUAUGAAUAUUUCGUGACUUAUCAAACAACUGCGGUGGAAUUGGCUCUUGAAGAUGAAGUAAUGGAACACACUAUUGAUGGUCAGACAUACAAAGAUACCGUUUUCUUUCUCAUUGGAGAGUGCCAACGAUUCUUCGAACUGCUAGAACUCACAUGGAAUGCUUUUGCCCUUCCUCCGUCGGGUUUCCUGCUCUCGGAAAUUCCCUAUGCCAAUCUUCUGAUACACAGAUGGAGGCAUUUCUCGGAGGCCAUUGAAAAGCUCUGGCUUGCCAUCUUUGAAGAGAGGAAUGAUCUUCCAUUUGAAGUUAGCCGUGCUAGCGCAUUAAAUUCACUGAAAAAGUUGGAGGCAUUGUUUCCGGAAAUCAACUUCAAGAACGAAAGGCAAGAGUAUUGUGUUGAAGUUCUUGCCGGCUCUACGGUACAAUUGCUGAACUGCGAUUUGCCUACUAUCAAGAAGGUCCUCAUGAGGUCUGAUGGUUUCUGCGGCGAAUUCUUUGUCCAGAAGAAUGUUCAGAAGAAGAAGCGCCAGAAGAAUGUUCAGAAGAAGAAGCGCCAUGAGAAAGCUCUGGCUAGCGAUUAG